RNAcentral lists this ribosomal RNA (510 nucleotides) under uncultured bacterium. RNAcentral's name for it is "partial 16S ribosomal RNA". It matches the Rfam family "Bacterial small subunit ribosomal RNA", at positions 28 to 507 of the family's 1533-position model. The record is from RNAcentral.
GACGAACGCUGGCGGCGUGCUUAACACAUGCAAGUCGAACGAAGAGCGAUGGAAGCUUGCUUCUAUCAAUCUUAGUGGCGAACGGGUGAGUAACGCGUAAUCAACCUGCCCUUCAGAGGGGGACAACAGUUGGAAACGACUGCUAAUACCGCAUACGAUCCAAUCUCGGCAUCGGGACUGGAUGAAAGGUGGCCUCUAUUUAUAAGCUAUCACUGAAGGAGGGGAUUGCGUCUGAUUAGCUAGUUGGAGGGGUAACGGCCCACCAAGGCGAUGAUCAGUAGCCGGUCUGAGAGGAUGAGCGGCCACAUUGGGACUGAGACACGGCCCAGACUCCUACGGGAGGCAGCAGUGGGGAAUCUUCCGCAAUGGACGAAAGUCUGACGGGGCAACGCCGCGUGAGUGAUGACGGCCUUCGGGUUGUAAAGCUCUGUUAAUCGGGACGAAUGGUUCUUGUGCGAAUAGUGCGAGGAUUUGACGGUACCGGAAUAGAAAGCCACGGCUAACUACGUG